Molecule: ribosomal RNA, 253 nt
Filed under: uncultured prokaryote
Description: partial 16S ribosomal RNA
Rfam family: Bacterial small subunit ribosomal RNA
Source: RNAcentral
UACGUAGGUGGCAAGCGUUGUCCGGAUUUACUGGGCGUAAAGGGAGCGUAGGCGGUUUUUUAAGUGGGGUGUGAAAUCCCUGGGCUUAACCCAGGAAUUGCAUUCCAAACUGGGAGACUAGAGUGCAGGAGAGGAAAGUGGAAUUCCAAGUGUAGCGGUGAAAUGCGUAGAGAUUUGGAGGAACACCAGUGGCGAAGGCGACUUUCUGGACUGUAACUGACGCUGAUGCUCGAGAGCGUGGGGAGCAAACAGG